CAGCAGCCGCGGUAAUACGAAGGGGGCUAGCGUUGUUCGGAAUUACUGGGCGUAAAGCGCACGUAGGCGGAUAUUUAAGUCAGAGGUGAAAUCCCAAGGCUCAACCUUGGAACUGCCUUUGAUACUGGAAGUCUUGAGUCCGGGAGAGGUGAGUGGAACUGCGAGUGUAGAGGUGAAAUUCGUAGAUAUUCGCAAGAACACCAGUGGCGAAGGCGGCUCACUGGCCCGGUACUGACGCUGAGGCGCGAAAGCGUGGGGAGCAAACAGGAUUAGAUACCCCAGUAGUCCCUGUCUCUUAUAC
This 301-nucleotide ribosomal RNA is filed under the name uncultured bacterium. RNAcentral describes it as "partial 16S ribosomal RNA". It matches the Rfam family "Bacterial small subunit ribosomal RNA", at positions 509 to 807 of the family's 1533-position model. The record is from RNAcentral.